CUCAGUGGGUUAAGGAUCUGGCGUUGCCGUGAGCUGUGGUGUAGGUCACAGACAUGGCUCGGAUCUGGUAUUGCUGUGGCUGUGGCAUAGGCCAGUGGCUACAGCUCCAAUUAGACCCCUAGCCUGGGAACCUCCAUAUGCCAUGGGUGCGGCCCUAGAAAAGACAAAAAAAAAACAAAAACAAAAACAAAAAAAAACUCCAUUCAAAUUCAUCUCCAGAGAAAGACUUCUCAGUCUCAUCUUCCUUGACAGGUUUUUAUCAAAGGUUACUUUUGACAUUUCUUUAGAAACUAAAAUGCUUGGCACAAUGCAGGUGCACACAAGAGGCUCUCAUAUAAUCCACAGAUAAUUAAUUCUUUUUUUCUUUUUUCAGCUGCAUCUGCAGCAUAGGGAAGUUCCCAGGCUAGGGGUUGAAUCAAAGCUUUAGCUGCCGGCCAAUGCACAGCCAUGGCCAUGAGGGAUCCGAGCUGCAUCUUUGACCUAUGCCACAGCUCAAGGCAACGCCAUAUGCUUAACCCAGUGGGUGAGACGAGGGAUCAAAUCUGCGUCCUCAUGGAUCCUAGUCGGGUUCUUAACCCACUGAGCCAUAACAGGAACUCCGGUAAAUACUUCUUUACCUACAAUACUUGAGCAGAACCGUUUUACUCACCGUCCUGCUUUCCUGGUGGUUUUCUCUUUCCUCUAAGUUCUGAUCUGAAUUGUACGAAAGCACAGCCCUCGUGAGUAUGGAGAGGGCUGGGUUUAGAAGCUAAGUACGUGGUGAGGAAGUUGAAGCAAAUGAGCUUCCCUCAUUUAGAAAUGAGACUUUCUAGAGAGAUUUGGUCAUAAAAUAUGGAGCGAUCUCAGCAGCUUAAAGGAGGCCAGGGAAUCGAUGGAAGGGUUUGGUCAUUUUAUUUGUCCCUUUGCCAUGAUUAUUAGCACAUUUGUCAUCAAAAUGUGAGGGGCUAGUGAACCUAUAAGUGAGGCUUGAUGGAGUGCUCUUCUUAGAAGGGUAGGAGGGCAGACUGAGGGCCCAAGAGUUUUGGAAAUGAGCAAAUCCAUCUAUUAGGUUGAGGAAAUUAACAUGAGAUGGCCCCUGGCUCCUUCGGGGGAAUCGAAGCUCCAUCACUCCCAAGGGAGGGAUUUGCAGCUGCUUUCUUUCUGCCACAGCCUCAGAAUGGUAGGCACCUAGAAGGUACUUAGUCCGUAUUUGUUGAAUAGGCCAUUGAAAAUGGAUCAAAUAGGGAAAACUCUUAAGUAUAGACUCUCUGGGGUAAGUAAAUAGUUGUUCGAAUAGCCUAAUCAGAUUUAGAACAGGCACAGAUUUAGAACAAGCUUUCUUUAGGGGGCAUUACAUUCCUCCCAUGUCCACAAACACUACUUACAAUAAAGGAAAGAUGUGUUCUUUCUUGCCAGAUGAAACCCUGGUGUGCUCCCAGCCCAUGUGUGAUCACCUGCAUAGCUUUCACCACCUCUCGACCACCACUGCCACCUGGUGGGAGGGCAGCGAUUCACAAGUGGCACCUGGAAUGAGACUUCUUGCAGGCAGCAGCACCUGUAAUUCUCCUUUGUGGUCAUGCCCUUCUAGAAAGCUGGCAACCCUGUGGUUCAUGGAAAACAAGACUUUGCUGAAUUCUCUCACUGUACAACUUUGUCCCCAAUCAGGGUUUAGGGUUCUACUCUUGCAUUUCUUUUCGGAAAAUAGGGAGAGACAGCCAAAUUAGGCAUGACAUUGAUAAGGCCACAUGAGCAGAUCCGCCUUUCGGUGGCUGUGGUGCUAUGUACCUUGUAAAGCUCUGUGCACCUGCCAGUCAUCACCUACUGUGAUGACUACUAGUGGCCAUAUAGAGGUAGGCUGUGGGGACCUGACGACUCCAAGUGCUAUAAAUACUCACUCGACAAGCCUUUCCAGAUCUGCAUGAACUAGGUAAAUGGAUUCAAAAGUUUCAGGAGUACUAACUGAUUCAGGUGAUUACAAAUGAAUUAUGUGGUUUUGAUAGAAUUCUGAUUCAGUUGGAACCUUUGAAUCAGUGAUACUGUAGAUGUUUUCAUUUUAAGCACACUAUACUCCUUGCUGUUUAGGCUUUAUUUUUCAAUAGAAAGGACAAUUCAAGGUAGCUUAUUUGCCUUCUUGGGGUGGGGGGAGUGACAAUUAUGCACCAUUUAGUUGAAGUCACUGUUUUAAUGCGUUUCAGCAACAGCUGUUAUUGAUUCCUACUGGUUUUUACUUUUUCAGAAAGCUGUUAAUAUUAUGUCUCAGCACAAGGCGUGAAACUGUGUGUAUCAUACCUGUGUCUCCACCACCAGGUAAAGAAGAGACCUUAACCAGCAUCCCUGAAGCCCCCUCCACCCCACCCAUGAUCCUUCCAAUCACUGUCCUCUCUCCCCCAAAGGUAGCCUCUAUCCUGUCGUCUAAAGCCAUAGCUUCGUUUGCGCCUGGGUUUUUUGUUCGUGUGUGUUUAUAUAAAUGAAAUCAUGCAGUGCGUAGCUCUUUUUUGCCAGGCUUUUUUUGUUUUGUUUUGUUUUGUUUUUGCUCCAUAUUAUGCUUAUGAGAGUCAGCCAUGUUGCUCAGAAAAGCUGUAGUCUGUUAGUUUGUGUUGCUGUAUCCUAUUACCUUGUAUAAGAUGUCAUAAUUGAUACACAAGGUCAACACUGAAGGAUACUUGGGAUACUUCGUUUCCUUCUAGCUGGAGGCUCUUACCAGAAAUGCUUCUGUGAACAUUCUUGUCCUUGGGUAAACAUAGACACUUGUUUCUGUUGGGUCUACACUUCCGGGUAAGUUGCUGAGUCAUGGAGUCAGCGCGUGUUCAACUGGGAUGAUAAUGCCAAACCGGUUUUUAAAGUGGUCAUACUAACACACACUCAUACUAGCAGAAUGUCAGCAGUCCCGUUGUUUUGUAUCUCCCUAUUCUUAGUAUUAUGUAGCAUUUUCAUGUUAGCCACUUUGCUAGGUAUGUAUAUAUUUGUAUUUCCUUGUGUUAUUAAAGUACUGUCUUUUUUUGGCUCACGGUAUGCCGAAGUGUCAGGGCCAGGGAUCAAACGCCCCCUACAGCAGUGACCUGAGCCACAGCGGUGUCAAGGCUAGAUCCUUAACCCGCUGAGCCACCAUGGAAUUCCUCAAGUACUAUAUUUUAAUUAACAACUAAUUGUGUUUCUUUUUAUAGCAGAACAGAAAGAACCAUUUAUAACCUCAUAAUGUGCUUUAAAAUAUCUUUGGCACCAAGUCCACAUCAUCCUAUUUCCUUUUAGGCCCAUCUUGGUGAGAAGUCUAUGUCCCAACUAAUAUAAAAACAAUAACAUAGACAUAUGACAGGCCCAGCUGACCCAUUUAGCAAACAGAAAGAUUCAUCUAAUAUCUCCUCGAAAUAAAGUAGGAUAGAGAAAUAAAAGCAAGGCAGAAAAACAACCAGCUUUUGAAAAUAAAGUGUGGCGUUCUCUCAUGGUGCAGCAGGUUAUAGGUCCUUCAUUGUCACUGCAGUGGCUUGGGUCACCGCUGUGGUGCGGGUUCCAUCCCCGGCCCAGGAACUUCCACAUGCCACAGGCAGAGCUAAAAAUUUAGAAAAAUAAAUAAAGAGUAAGCUGUAAAAUAAUCGAAUAUUACAGUUAGAUUCAUCUAAUUCAGCCAACUCGGGGCCAGGAGAGGUUAAAUGGUCAAGACCUACCCCAGCUGCAAACAGCCAGAACUAGAAUUCUACUCCAUUUACCCCUAAUCUUUUCUAGGAUACUCAACAUUUUAUUCAAUGUAUGUUCUUAAGUCUAAAAUUUCUCUUUAAACUCAGUUAAGUUUCCCAGAGUUCAGGUUCAUUUUGUAAGUGCACGUAGUUAACCAUGAAAGAACGCUCUGUCCACGUGUUGUAGUUAUACAGCCAUGCUUUCUCUCUCUGACUAAUUAGAAGACAACUCGACACUGAAAUCCAAUCCCAACAGAACACUAUAGCCAGAGAGCUGUCUGGCUAUCACUCUGCAGAAAGACACAGCAGUCUGUCUAAAUUCUCACUGCUUCCCUUGUCAGCAAGUCAGGGCUUGGAGUUUUAUAAAGGAAUCCAUGUCAAUCCCCAGCUCUGUCUUCCUCUGAGGAUUCCUGGGGGCUGGGGGUGGGGGGCUAGCUCCGUAAUGCAAUGGCUUUCUUGUCGGAAGAUAUCACCGUUGACCCAGUCAGCAGACCGUGGACUUUGACUUAUGGCUCCUCACGGAUCCAUAUACAUUCAUACUCAGAGCUUCUACAUGACAAAUGGCAUACAACUGCAAAUGCCUAGCCUCUGGCUGCUGACCAGAAUAUAGCUAAUUUAUCCCUAUAAGGUUCAUGGUUUGCGUCUUCGCUAACAGCAUCAGCAGACCAGCUAUAGACUCUUAACUUUCACCAUCUUGAUCUGGGAAAUAUAAUUUCUCCUCUAUUUCAUUGCGCUUAUUAAUGUAAAGUAUUGUAUUCCCUAAAUCAAAACAGCAGCCCACAGGCAUACUUAGCUUAACCAUCGCAGCCUUUAAAAUCUAUUUGAAUUCAUGCCCACAUUUGAAAUCUAGAGCGUUCAUAUAAAAAUUCAGAUGAUCGGCCUUUCUUGAAAUAUCAGAGGCUCUAGCCAUUCAGGGACCUCGUUCCUGGUGACAGCCCGGACGAGCUGACGGGGGUGGCCUCCUUCAGUGAGAACACAGCUCCCUAACUCACCAGUCACCUACACAGGCCAGUUCACUCCUCUAUGUUGCCUUCCUGACCCACAGAGGUAUUUGAAUUUGUGAUUCUUGCCCUAAUCAAAUAGUAUCAAGGCCAGGUUUCUGCCUGGAGCUCAAUGCCAGGGCUUUGGCAGCAACUCGAAGGCCCUCCAAGCAGGCUCUGUAUAAUUCUGGUCCCCUGCAGGCCCCUGCUGGAUUGCCCAGCACUGUCUUUGCCAUGCCCUUUCUGCAGGCUGGAUAUUGGCAUAACACAGAGCUCCUCUGGCAUACAAUGGGGCUGCAUUCAUUUGGGGAGAUCUGGGACUUCCGCUCUGCACCAGGAACCUGAUUCCCAUUCUCUCAGAAAAAAUGCUGAGGGAUGUAGUUGAGUUUUCUCUAAUCUGCAGAAAAUUCAAUUGGCAAGAUCUGCAAGUUUGGCUCUGCUUUGAAGCAUCUGCAUCCCUCCCCCCACCGUGAGUCAGUGCAUUCAACAAUGCUAUUUAAAAUUCAAUAAAUACAAGGCAAAUGAAAUGACCAAAAUGGAUCCUCACUUU
This 5180-nucleotide long non-coding RNA is filed under the name Sus scrofa (pig). Its description in RNAcentral is "lncRNA (ENSSSCG00000060729.1)". The record is from RNAcentral. Lineage: Eukaryota; Metazoa; Chordata; Mammalia; Artiodactyla; Suidae.